RNAcentral lists this long non-coding RNA (469 nucleotides) under Mytilus galloprovincialis (Mediterranean mussel). The record is from RNAcentral. Lineage: Eukaryota; Metazoa; Mollusca; Bivalvia; Mytilida; Mytilidae.
GUGAACUGUUUGGAUAUGCUUAAACUCAGAAUCAUUAUAUUUUUAUACAAUGUAGGUGCCCACUAUAUACAGGUUUUGGAUGAGUUUGGCUCUCAUUGAAACUACUCUGUUGCCAUGGAAACUACACCAAAAAUUCCAAAAAUCUCAAAGUGCUCCAAAUGUCAUGAAACUUCACAGUAACGAUGAGCAACAUUAGAAGAUGUGGCAUUUGGAGUUGGAAUUUCCAAAAAAGCUGAGUUACCAUGGAAACAAUGCAGAAAGGUGAAAAAUUUCAAAAAAAAAUGAAUAUGCUGCAAACUGGAUGAAACUUUACAGGAAUAGUUACUAUCAUAAGCAGAGUUGCAUUUUGAAGUUGGAAUUUUCAAAAUGGCCGCCGUAACCAUGGAAACAGCAAAAAUAUCAAAAAUUUCAAAAUGCUUCAAACUUAAUGAAACUUUGCAAAAAUGUUACUAGACAUCUGUAGAUGCAC